ACCAUAGGAAAAAGGGUCCAUUAGUGGCCAGAUAUUUAAAUAAUACGUGUUUACUAUGUUGUUAAUAAUGCAGAUCGCGCGAGGUUAUCUCGGGCUAUAUCCUAAUUAAUUAAAAAAUAUAUAAAUCCAAGUUUGCAAAUAUCAUGAAUUAUUUAAAAGUUCAAGAAUCAGAAGAGAACAAGUGUUUGUUUGAAGACUAAGCGUAUUAUCAAACUACAGUACACCAUUACUUACUAUAAACUUCGCAACAUGAGGGCUAUCUUAAUCACUCUAUUAUGUCUUACAUAUGGUUUAAUGUUUGCGGACGCUAGAUAUUCUGAUCAGCAACCGUCAAUGCCUUGCAUCGAAAUCCACCGUUACGAUAGACGAAUUGAUCAAUGUCUUGACGUUAUGGCAUGCUAUGAAAUCCUUUAUAAUUAUGUACAAGGCUUCGUAAGCAAAAACCUCAUCGUACUCUACGUAAGCGCAGCGAAUGCACAUUCUAGUACUGAAUUGGAAGAGCUUUUUGAGGAAAGCAAUAUUUAUGUUCCAACACAAGGAUCCCUAUUAGAUAAGAUAGCAGCUGUCCGAAAUCAGUGUGUAAAUAAGCUAAAUAGAAUUGUACCUGAUUUCGUUACAUAUUUACAAAACACUUGUUACAACUACUAUUAAAGCAUAUGAAGAAAUCAGUAGUACUUAAGUUUUUUUAAGCGAUUCGAAAUAGUGGUCAAAGAAGAUUAAAAACUAGACUAGAAUGUAGUAGUGGAAUUACAAAUAGUAUACUUUUGACAAAUAAAAAAGAAUGUUCUAUUGUU
RNAcentral lists this long non-coding RNA (794 nucleotides) under Anthonomus grandis grandis. RNAcentral describes it as "uncharacterized LOC126741894". Lineage: Eukaryota; Metazoa; Arthropoda; Insecta; Coleoptera; Curculionidae. The record is from RNAcentral.